ACCCUGCUCCUUGUUACACUCUGGCUUCCCAUCUGUGAACCUCUGAUGACCCUGAAUCUCCAUCGGCCAUUGGCGCUGAGGUACGAAGCUGCUUGUGUCUUUUGGAGCCGAGUAAGCCGGAUUGUGAUGGUUGGAGAGUGGCUUCCCUAACAGACGAAAUUAAGAGAGCUACCGGGACUCCCCGCACUCGAACCAUUACGAUUCGAACCAAGAUAUCUGCACGAGUGGAUCAGACUCCGUUGCACCCAAGCCAACCCUCCAUUCUUUGGAUAUAAUUCUCCACACGUUUCCAUAAUGCAAACAAACAAUUGAGAAA
RNAcentral lists this long non-coding RNA (316 nucleotides) under Felis catus (domestic cat). RNAcentral describes it as "lncRNA (ENSFCAG00000042296.2)". The record is from RNAcentral. Lineage: Eukaryota; Metazoa; Chordata; Mammalia; Carnivora; Felidae.